UCUGCAACUCCUUUUUCAGGACACGUGG
This 28-nucleotide non-coding RNA is filed under the name Mus musculus (house mouse). Lineage: Eukaryota; Metazoa; Chordata; Mammalia; Rodentia; Muridae. The record is from RNAcentral.